CAUAGCGGUCCGGUCCAGCUGGCUCCGCGCGCACAGCCAUCUCUUGGCGCUCUGCCCCUAGAGGGCCUCCUCGCACUUCUCAUUAGUCAGAUUGCCAGUCAUACUCACAUUUUCACCAAUCGCUAGUCAGAUGGGCGGAACUCCUUUCUGGUUCAGGCCAAUCACAGCCCAGCCCUGUUGCGCGCGUAGCCCCCAACUCGCGCGAGGACGGGGACCCAAGCCGGGGACUCGCGAGGCGCCGCCCGCAGCUGGAGCGUCCUGGAAAUGCUCCAAGCACUCGUCUGCAUCUGGAUAAAUGGGUAUCAUAAGGAUCCUGGAGAUGACCGAACAUAUGUGGGUGGUGUGCACAGGUCACACGAGAACCUCGUGUCACUUUAUGUGAAGGAUGUGAGGACCUGUGGGUCCUUGGGGCCCUGGAGCUGAUCCCUCAUGGAUCCUAAGGAACAACUACGUAUGCACUCAGGAUCUUGCUAUGUUUUCCAGGCUUAUUUUGGCUUCAAGCGAAUCCUCCUCCUGAGUAGCUGGACUGCAGGUGUACUCUGCCCCACCUGUCUGGGAUAACACAUAACCCCACUCUUUGCGGAUUGAACCCAGGGCCUAUAAACUAUGAGCUCAUCUACAGCUCUUUUGAUAAAUUUUAAUUUUGACACAGGGCCUCUUUAAGUAGCUAAAAGGACCAGGCUGGGCAUGAACUUGCAAUCCUCCUACUUCCCCCUGCCAGAAUGCUGGAAUUAGAGGUGUGCACCACCACAUCAGGCUUGGGAUAACUUUUCAUCUACAUGGACAUGCAUGUUGAGUGUCUGGCAUGGUGUGGGGCACGUGCCGAUGUCCCUGCCCGACUGUUCCUGGAAGGUGGCAGGUCCCACACACCCUAGGGCUCCUCUGAGGCCAGGCUCUGCCCUGGGCAGCAUCAUGGUCACAGCCUACAGGAAGGGAUCUUUCAUAGCCCAAAU
This 953-nucleotide long non-coding RNA is filed under the name Heterocephalus glaber (naked mole-rat). Its description in RNAcentral is "lncRNA (ENSHGLG00100044368.1)". The record is from RNAcentral. Lineage: Eukaryota; Metazoa; Chordata; Mammalia; Rodentia; Bathyergidae.